Molecule: ribosomal RNA, 522 nt
Filed under: uncultured bacterium
Lineage: Bacteria
Description: bacterial SSU rRNA
Rfam family: Bacterial small subunit ribosomal RNA
Source: RNAcentral
AAUAGAUACCCGGGUAGUCCACGCCGUAAACGAUGAGUGCUAAGUGUUAGAGGGUUUCCGCCCUUUAGUGCUGCAGCUAACGCAUUAAGCACUCCGCCUGGGGAGUACGGCCGCAAGGCUGAAACUCAAAGGAAUUGACGGGGGCCCGCACAAGCGGUGGAGCAUGUGGUUUAAUUCGAAGCAACGCGAAGAACCUUACCAGGUCUUGACAUCCUCUGCCAACCCUAGAGAUAGGGCGUUCCCCUUCGGGGGACAGAGUGACAGGUGGUGCAUGGUUGUCGUCAGCUCGUGUCGUGAGAUGUUGGGUUAAGUCCCGCAACGAGCGCAACCCUUGAUCUUAGUUGCCAGCAUUCAGUUGGGCACUCUAAGGUGACUGCCGGUGACAAACCGGAGGAAGGUGGGGAUGACGUCAAAUCAUCAUGCCCCUCAUGACCUGGGCUACACACGUGCUACAAUGGAUGGUACAAAGAGUUGCGAACCCGCGAGGGUAAGCGAAUCUCAUAAAGCCAUUCUCAGUUCGGA